RNAcentral lists this non-coding RNA (29 nucleotides) under Macaca fascicularis (crab-eating macaque). Lineage: Eukaryota; Metazoa; Chordata; Mammalia; Primates; Cercopithecidae. RNAcentral also lists the same sequence under 1 other name. The record is from RNAcentral.
UCCUGGUCUGGCCACAUUUGACUGUGUCA